AUUGAACGCUGGCGGCAGGCUUAACACAUGCAAGUCGAGCGGAGAGAGGUAGCUUGCUACUGAUCUUAGCGGCGGACGGGUGAGCAAUACUUAGGAAUCUGGCUAUUAGUGGGGGACAACAUUUCGAAAGGGAUGCUAAUACCGCAUACGUCCUACGGGAGAAAGCAGGGGAUCUUCGGACCUUGCGCUAAUAGAUGAGCCUAAGUCGGAUUAGCUAGUUGGUGGGGUAAAGGCCUACCAAGGCGACGAUCUGUAGCGGGUCUGAGAGGAUGAUCCGCCACACUGGGACUGAGACACGGCCCAGACUCCUACGGGAGGCAGCAGUGGGGAAUAUUGGACAAUGGGCGAAAGCCUGAUCCAGCCAUGCCGCGUGUGUGAAGAAGGCCUUUUGGUUGUAAAGCACUUUAAGCGAGGAGGAGGCUACCGAGAUUAAUACUCUUGGAUAGUGGACGUUACUCGCAGAAUAAGCACCGGCUAACUCUGUGCCAGCCGCCGCAGUAA
Molecule: ribosomal RNA, 501 nt
Filed under: uncultured bacterium
Lineage: Bacteria
Description: partial 16S ribosomal RNA
Rfam family: Bacterial small subunit ribosomal RNA
Source: RNAcentral